This 250-nucleotide ribosomal RNA is filed under the name uncultured bacterium. RNAcentral's name for it is "partial 16S ribosomal RNA". It matches the Rfam family "Bacterial small subunit ribosomal RNA", at positions 524 to 773 of the family's 1533-position model. The record is from RNAcentral.
UACGUAGAUGGCAAGCGUUAUCCGGAAUGACUGGGCGUAAAGGGUGCGUAGGCGGUUCUUUAAGUCAGAUGUGAAAAUCCAGUGCUUAACAUUGGAACUGCAUUUGAAACUGGAGAACUUGAGUGCAGGAGAGGAAAGUGGAAUUCCUAGUGUAGCGGUGAAAUGCGUAGAUAUUAGGAGGAACACCAGUGGCGAAGGCGACUUUCUGGACUGUAACUGACGCUGAGGCACGAAAGUGUGGGGAUCAAAC